UGCAGUCGACGCUUCUUUCCUCCCGAGUGCUUGCACUCAAUUGGAAAGAGGAGUGGCGGACGGGUGAGUAACACGUGGGUAACCUACCCAUCAGAGGGGGAUAACACUUGGAAACAGGUGCUAGAUACCGCAUAACAGUUUAUGCCGCAUGGCAUAANAGUGAAAGGCGCUUUCGGGUGUCGCUGAUGGAUGGACCCGCGGUGCAUUAGCUAGUUGGUGAGGUAACGGCUCACCAAGGCCAC
RNAcentral lists this ribosomal RNA (242 nucleotides) under Enterococcus faecalis. RNAcentral's name for it is "partial 16S ribosomal RNA". It matches the Rfam family "Bacterial small subunit ribosomal RNA", at positions 60 to 277 of the family's 1533-position model. Lineage: Bacteria; Bacillati; Bacillota; Bacilli; Lactobacillales; Enterococcaceae. The record is from RNAcentral.